This 189-nucleotide ribosomal RNA is filed under the name uncultured bacterium. RNAcentral describes it as "partial 16S ribosomal RNA". It matches the Rfam family "Bacterial small subunit ribosomal RNA", at positions 338 to 524 of the family's 1533-position model. The record is from RNAcentral.
CCUACGGGAGGCAGCAGUGAGGAAUAUUGGGCAAUGCCCGCAAGGGUGACCCAGCAACGCCGCGUGGAGGAUGAAGGCCGUAAGGUUGUAAACUCCUGUUAGAGGAGAAGAAUAGUGCCGAUUGGAUCGGUAUUUGACUGUACCCUCUGAGAAAGCCCCGGCUAACUACGUGCCAGCAGCCGCGGUAAU